This 5586-nucleotide long non-coding RNA is filed under the name Malus domestica (apple). RNAcentral's name for it is "long non-coding RNA (MDOM_LNC009739)". Lineage: Eukaryota; Viridiplantae; Streptophyta; Magnoliopsida; Rosales; Rosaceae. The record is from RNAcentral.
GGCAUAGGGCCUGGAGUGUGUUUCCUCUGGCUAUUUAGCACAGGGACGGGGAGCCGGCAUGGGGCCUGAAGUGUAUUUUCCUCUGACUGUCUGCUCAGAGACGGGGAGCCGGCAUGGGGCCUGCAGGUUAUCGGACAAUUCACUAGUGAUUAUUAUAUAUGAGUUAUGAUUUGAGAUACUGCACAUCAUGCUAGGUUUCGGAAAACCUAUGUUCAUCAUUAUAUAUUUGUUUUCAUAAACCUGGGGGUUAGUAUAUUGAUAACUGUUUUAUUAUAUAUAUAUCAACUUGGUCCACUCAUGUUUGUUUUGCGCCCCCUUCAGGAUUUAGGAUCGAGGCGUACAAUCCCGACAAUCAAGGCACUUCCGCAUCGGCAUCUUCGAGUCCUCUUGGUGUGGGACUCAUUCUUUUAUUCAUUCCAUUUUAUAUCAUUCUUUUAGUGUUCUAGUUAGUUGUAUGCUCUGAACACGUUCCUUAAAUGCAUAUUCCUUAUUCUUUUACAUUUGUAAGUUUUAUCUAUCCUUUAUUUUCAGCAAUUGCACUCAAUAAAUGGCUUUCGUCACCCUCGGGUGUCGGCCAGCACGUGACCAUCCUGAUAUCCCGAGGAUAUCGGGAUCGGGGCGUGUCAGAUUGGUAUCAGAGCGUGGUUUGUUCAGAGCAUACUUAGGGUUCUUUUCUAUUAUCUUAAAGUGUUGGUUUUGACAUCAUUUGGAUGUCACGACUUCCGGAUUUUAUGCUAGUCGGUGCAGUUGUGUGAAUCUCUCUCUGAUUGAAUUGUCACCUUCUUGUUGAAAUUCAAGAAUUCGUGUCGGGAUUGUGCCUCAUCGGUGACGUGUUUGAAUCGUUGGACGACUUUCAGCAUCGGAUCGAUACUCAGCGACGUGUUUUAGAAAUCUCAAUUUGAGGAAUUCUGGUUAAGACCAGCUGUAGAUUUGAAAUGGCGAUGCACUCUGCAACAUGCGUUCCCUAGGAAUUGCGGGCGGAGUCGGCUCUACAUCGAAAUCUUGAGAAACUCCUCAGUAGCAGACGUUAUUCUCAUCAAUUUUCAAAUUGAGUUGCAAUUCUUGUUGUUGUUGUAGUUGGAUUUGGAUGAUGAAUAUCCAGUUUUGUUUGGAUAAACAGAUUCCUUGAAUUUCACCUGGGUUGGGUACCUGGUGGCAAACCCUAGUUCCUCGUCCGCGUACUUUUUGGCGAAUGUGAACUUAGUCUAUUGCUUGCAGCCUAAAUGUUCAGUCUUGUAAUUUUCGUUGUAAUGGCUUGAGACUCUACCAUGUUUAUCAUUGUACGAAGAUCGAACUUUACUCUAAACUUCUCUGGACUCAUUGAGCUUUGGUUUGCUCAAGAGCAUCACUUUAAGGUAGCCAAUCGUGUCACUGCAUGCAUACGCAGGUUGCUUUGUAUCUUUCUUCUUCGUCAUUCUGCUGAUUCAGAGGUUCUAUGUUUAAUUUCUGAACUUUGAAACAACUCUCACAUAGUAUUGUGAAUCUCGUAAUGUUUUUGACCUCGUCAAAUCUUAUUAUCAGUUCUUAACUAUCCUUGAGCUUAGCCCUAUUUCCUUUUGGCUAAGAACCAGUUGACCAUACUGUGAUGAUUUGCAAAAUAAUCAGAAACAAUGACUCUAUUUCUGCAUCUUUAUCUUCCUUCGCUUGUUGGUUCUCAAUGUAAAAUUGAAUCAUGCCGGAACAAUAUGAGCUUGUUCUUGGCGUGGUUUCUGGUUCAAAUCCUGAUUUCUUGUAAUCUAUCUUUUUAUGGACUUGUUUUGAUCCUCAAAUUCUUGAGUAUUCUUUUAGCCUUCUCGACAUGGUUUCUCGCCUAACCAGUGAGAAAUUCACAAUCGAUCGUUUCGGUGAAAGUGGGCACCCAGUUCGUGUUGAUUCGGACAUGAAUGUUGGGAGCAUAAUCUUUUCACAAGCUUACCAGACUUACCAUAAAGAAUUCCAUGUGGGUAUGAGGUUUAAGCUGUAUUUUGGUAAGAGACUGGUGAAGAUUUUGGUGCAGAAGGUCAGCAUAUUGUAUCACCAUCUUACUAGAAUUCAUAGGCAUCACAUUGGUUAUUUUCCAACUAUAUGUGUUCGUCUCGACGCAUAUUUCCACUGCUUCAUUUCUGAACCUUAUUAUUGUGAGUACGUGGUUGUUAAAACAUUUCUAGCAGAUAUGUUUGGUGCAUUCUGAGAUGGCACUACAGGACGGUCGAAGCGAGAAUUGGAUAAUCUUUACACUUCUCUCGAAAUGUGCGUGUUGUCUUUGGUUGUUAGGAUGACCAUUUGCGAGUCGUUCUUCUUCCACCAACUUUGAUCUUGUUUGACUUGAAAUCUGCAACUAAGCAAAAAUGGAGAGGUGGAUUGAGCACCACAACAGUUCGUAAGAGAUACUGCGUGUUGAGGAAGAUGACUUCUCGUUUUCUGCUUGCUUGAUUUGAGCUUUUGGGUCUACUACUAACAUGGUAGCCACUUCUCUUGAAUCCCAAGGUACAAUUUUCAAAUGGGUUCCUUACUGGUGAAAUUCUGAAGUAGUUGGUCACAUUUGGAAGAACUGAGGAGGAUAGGAUGCUUGGUGCUGGAUAGAGUGUUACGACGACAGUUUCUGUUUUGUUCGGUUUGGUGUAUGGUACUUUUUACGACCUGGUACGAUAGUUUUUCAUGGAAAACACUGGUUGACUGAAAAGUCUUGCGAACUUGUAUUUGGAGGAUCGAUCCUACGAUAUGUGAAAUUGUACACCAUUUGAGAAAUUACUACUUGCCUAUCGAGACAACAAAUGUGAGGUCGAUAUUGCGGGCUGCAGACUGUGAUAUCGAUAGCUUAUUUGGUGGGUUCGUUAAGCAAGUGGGGCAAGAAGAUUCGUCUACAGCAGCUGAUGCAGAUUCAGAAUUUGUAUUUCUUAGGACUCGACCUAAAGGCACAUCUAUUCUCGGAAUAUAUGACAUUUCGAAUUCUUGGGCGAGACCCACUCUCAUUUUUCAGUUUUGAUUUUCAGUAUAAGUAUUUUGAACUCCCUUUACUCUAGUUAAUUGUUUUGGCGUUACAAAUGUUUUUGGAAAAGUAUUUAUGUUUUCAUUUUUAAGUUGAUUCGAGUUUUUGAACUAUAUGUUAGUACAUAUCUAUUUUGACGUUAUCUGGCCUUAAGCUAUUUUGUGUUUUCAACUUUAUAUUUUAUUAAAAUAUGUGUUUUAUUUUUACACUGAUGGAAAAAAAAAAAAAAAAAAAGUUUGAGCCUGGAGGCACGAAAGAUGGAAUCAUUGCAGCCGAUCGCGACGGCGUGGCAUUUUCCCUUUUGUGAAACCGCUCUUACCUGAUCUUUUCGUUACAUAUAUAUAUAUUAUUCUUCUUCCUAUUUUCAAGUAUUUUCGGUGUAGUAUGUUGUUUUAAAUUUCGAGGACGAAAUUUUUUUAUAAGGGUGGUAGAUUGAAACACCCCAACCCUCUUUUAUAUUUUAAAAUUGUUUUAAAGCCUUAAUUGGUGAGCCCGUGGGGCCCACCUUGUUUAUUUUUUUAUAUGUUUUCUGAUCUCUCUCUUCUUCUUCUUCGUCUCUCCCUCCCGUAGCUCACUCCUUCUUAGCUCUCCCGUCUCUCUCUCCCUCAACCUUUCGCAUCUCUCUCUUCUCCUGGACUCACUAGGAUCGAGUCACCAUCGAAGAGAGGCUCGCAACGAACCCCGAACCCUGCCCUGCGAGUUCGAUGACACGGAGUAAGCUCCGGCGAGCACCGCCCCUUUCGAGGCCAUUUCCGGCCAAACCACGGCGAGUUGGCCGGCGUUUAAGGUAUCAAUCUCUUCGUCUCGUCGAGUACUACAACUUUCCUUUUUGUUUCACUUAAUUUCAUUAAGUAUUGAAGAAGUUAUACUCAUUUGAAUCUUACCCAGUUUCCGGCGAGUCCGACGGCUUUCGAGGAAUUUUCCGGCCAAACCACGGCGAGUUAGACGUCGUGUGAGGUACCAUUCUCUUCGUCUCUUCAAGGGCUACAACUUUCAUUUUGUCUUGCUUGAUUUCGUUGAGUAUUGACAAAGUUAUGGCCAUUUAAAGUUGGGUGGUUUUCCGGCCGAAAAUUCCGACCUUCUCCUUCGACAAACCCAGGCCAUCCGGCCUUUCCCUCUCCCUCGGGCCUUAGGCCCGUGUUGCCUUAGCCCAGUACCCUAGCCCAUUCAGUUUUUAUUUUUAGUUAUAUGUUUUUAAAACCCAAAGGGCUUGGGCCCUAGUUUUGGUUGGCCUUGGGCCGGUUUUCAACCAAGGGCUUAAAGCCCUGAUUUCUGUAGGAGGCCUUAGGGCCUUGUGUAGUGUGUGUGUGUGUGUGUUUAUAGUAUAUGUAUGUGUUUGGGCUAUAUGUAUGUGUUUGGGCUUAAACCCAAACCCCUUUCCUAACCCUAAACCAUUUUAACCCAAAACCUUAGAAAUCCAAACCACCCAUUUUAACCCUAAACCCUUUUAACCUUAGAACCCUAAAUUCAAAACCCAAUAAAUCCUAAUCCUAUUUAACCUAAACCCUAAUCCGGAUUUCAAGCCUAAAACCCGUUAGACCUAAUUUGACCGUUGACCUCCGGUUAACAUUGACUUUAGAGUUGACUUUUCGGGUUUUCGUCCGGGACCCUUCUUAGGGUAAUUCGACGUUCUGAAUCCGUUUCCAACGUCCGUUUUCCCAAAUCCAAUUGCUAUUAUAUAGUUUUAUUAAUUGGACCCUUUAUGUGCUUAGGGGCAAUUAUUGGUGACGUUAGUUUGCGUGGCUCUUCGGCGGCUAAGUACUGUGAGUGGACCCCUUCAAAAGCAUGUUUUAAAUAGUAGAAAUGCAUACAUGAAAUGCAUGAUUUAAUGAUUACGUUUUAUGAAACGUUUUGAGAUAACAUGCUUACUGAGGCUACCUUGAAUUAUUACUAUUUUUCCUAUAACCCGUGUUCUUAUAGAAUAUCUGAUGGAUGACGAUAUGAUAUUUAGAACAUGUUUCGAACACCUCUUUAUAGUAUAGAUGAUGAAUGACUUUAUACUAUGAAGUUGUUUUUCAAUAUAUGUAUGUUCAAUGGUUUUGUACUUACCUAGUGGUCCUUUCCGCUACGGGACGUAGGGAUAGAUUCCGGUCCGUCCCGGGCGACGGUUUGGUGUUGGCAUAGGGCCUGGAGUGUGUUUCCUCUGGCUAUUUAGCACAGGGACGGGGAGCCGGCAUGGGGCCUGAAGUGUAUUUUCCUCUGACUGUCUGCUCAGAGACGGGGAGCCGGCAUGGGGCCUGCAGGUUAUCGGACAAUUCACUAGUGAUUAUUAUAUAUGAGUUAUGAUUUGAGAUACUGCACAUCAUGCUAGGUUUCGGAAAACCUAUGUUCAUCAUUAUAUAUUUGUUUUCAUAAACCUGGGGGUUAGUAUAUUGAUAACUGUUUUUAUUAUAUAUAUAUCAACUUGGUCCACUCAUGUUUGUUUUGCGCCCCCUUCAGGAUUUAGGAUCGAGGCGUACAAUCCCGACAAUCAAGGCACUUCCGCAUCGGCAUCUUCGAGUCCUCUUGGUGUGGGACUCAUUCUUUUAUUCAUUCCAUUUUAUAUCAUUCUUUUAGUGUUCUAGUUAGUUGUAUGCUCUGAACACGUUCCUUAAAUGCAUAUUCCUUAUUCUUUUACA